GUGCACGAAGCUGAAUCUGGAUGGGAGCUGUUGCGACGGUGCCGACGUCCUCGGACGCAAGCUUCUUCCCCUUUUUUCCCGUUGCUUGUGGGUGCCAAGGGCAGAGCCGCUCUGUCUACUGUCUCUUGUUGCCCUGCUCAUGUGGAACAGGCCAACCUACGCCAUCGUGCGUGCCCGGCGCGAUAGCGUGGUUCGAACUUUCUCUGCGUGCGGGACUUCGUUGGCGUCGCCUCAGCGUCGUUUUUCGUCGUGGUUCGAAGAGCAGCCCGGCGGUGGUCAGCGCAACGUAGAAGACAAGGCUGUCGCCGCAUUUGCCGUCAACGCUGACAGGCUGGAGAAGGGCAAGACGAUCAUCAACAAGAAGGCGCAUGGAAUUCCUUUCCACAUAUCUGAUGCUGAGGCGGUCGACAAUGUGUGCCGCCACCACGGGACUGCGGUUGAGAUUCACAGUGUGGAACGCUUUCUCAUGCCGUUCUGGCUCACAGAGACGUCUGCCGCUGGCACCUUCAAGGCGGAUCUCCUCCAGCACGAUCGAAUGAACAUCACCCAGCCGCACUACUUUCUGUGGCUGGAGGGGCCCCGGUACCAGUUCAACUACCCGUUUGGGGAAUACAUGCCGAUGAAUCAAGUCUCCGCGUCCUACCGGGAGCCUCUUGAGGUGGUGGAGCGCUGCCUCACCGGCACCCAUGUGCCGUCGAUGCUGCUCUCGCGAUUUGAGCUGCUGCAUGAGGUGGAAAAGAUGGAGCACCGACCCACUGUUAUCCCCUUCACCAUGUCAACUAUCACGGCCCUAUCCGUGAUAGAGCGGCGCGUCAACCGCCGCGUCGUUUUGGAUCGCAUCGACCGCGAACUCCGCAAGUUUCACGGCUCUUUUCUGAAGAGCAAUGUGAACGUGACGAGCCUGCAAAUGGUGGCGUCAAGUAUUCGGCCUGCGUUCCUGCCACUCUUCAAGCUGACAGUGUCCACCAUCUCACACUCGACGCCAGUGCCGGCGUUCAUCUGCGGCGCUACCGGCAAGGUGGUAGGGCCGGUGCUGCACGUGCAGCGCCGGAAGCGGCUGGGGCUGGCGGUCGCCGCGGCUGUUGGUACGCUGCUGAGCCUUGCGCCUCUCGUGGAGCCCGGGGUGGCCACGGCCGCUGCGUUGGCGGUUGUGGCCUCCUCUGGCUUUGUGCAGCAGGCUGUGCAGCGGGCGCGCUUUGUGCGGGAGCAGGCGCACCAGAUGGCGCAGCUAAAGUCCGUCGGCGUGCUGAACCUCGUCGCCGACAGCGCGGGUUAUCGCUGGACCCCAGAGGAGGAAGAGAAAGAAGAGUACGAGUACCGCGAGGAGCUGCGCCGUCAGGCACGCGCGAGGGACGCCUUUGAGCAGCGCGUGAAAGAGGAGGCGGCGCGCGACCGAGCCCGAGCCCAUGGCACUCACUUCGACCCGAAGAGCCGCCGCCGCACCGACUUGACGGAUGUGGACCCACGCGGCUACUACGAGCUUCUCGGGCUGAAGGGGAAAGAGUUCUCUGCCACGGCGAAGGACAUCACGAAGGCGUUCCGUGAGGCGGUGCGGAUUCAUCACCCGGACGUGCACCCGGAGGGCGAAGCGGAAAACAAGAAGCGCCACAUGCAGCGCAUCAUCGAAGCAUAUAAGAUUCUACACAACCCCAAAACGAAGAAGUCUUAUGACUCUGGCGAGAUGAGCGGCAAGUCGCAAGAGACUUCUUAGGUAUGAAGUAGGAAGAAGGGCAACGUUUGGGGCGGGGGGGCUUCAUCGAUGUGCGUCUUUAUUCUAGCACCUGCGCUGAGACCCCCUGAACUGUCGCCUUUCCGCCGGCCCCCCAUACCCGCCACCUUCCCCUUCCUCCCACGCUGCCGGCUGUUCUUUAUCUCGCUUUAUCAUCUUGUUCUCGUAUGUGUGUGUGUGUGUGUACGUGCGUUGGCGCAGUCAAGCUCAGCUAUAGGUUGAAUAAGUCGCAUUUCAGUUUUCGUUCGUGUCGGUGCACCCUCCCCUCCCCUCCUCCUUCUCCUCAGACCGCUUCCUCGAUGUCCUCGUGGACGUGUGAGCAAGGGCGCGACGUGGAGACGUCAGCGCGCACGCAUACGGAAUAAACAGCCUUCUGCUCUCUUUGGUGGAGGGGACUGUUGAUGUGCGAGAGAGAUCAUGUCGCUUUUUGAUUUUCACUGUGCCGAAGUCGCGCUUCUGAGCGCAGCACAGAUGUGGAUGCAGGAGGGAGGGGUCCGGACCUUCGAAACGAAAAAGGCACACCCGCACAAACAGCACAAGUUCUGGCUAACAAGUCUUCUCUUCCCUUCUCAUCGCCUCUUCUUUCACGAUCCACCACCCCCCCCCUCGGGUGAUGCGUGCGUGUCGGUGUUGUUCUUCUCAUCCCUUCCUCUACUGUUGGCGUGAGCCGCUCUUCACCGGUACUGUCACGCGCGCACCCACCCCAG
Molecule: unclassified non-coding RNA, 2436 nt
Filed under: Leishmania donovani
Lineage: Eukaryota; Euglenozoa; Kinetoplastea; Trypanosomatida; Trypanosomatidae
Description: gene:LdHU3.14.0140(CDS-product:DnaJ_domain_contai ning_protein_putative)
Source: RNAcentral